GAUGAACGCUGGCGGCGUGCCUAAUAUAUGCAAGUCGAGCGAACAGACGAGGAGCUUGCUCCUCUGACGUUAGCGGCGGACGGGUGAGUAACACGUGGAUAACCUACCUAUAAGACUGGGAUAACUUCGGGAAACCGGAGCUAAUACCGGAUAAUAUAUUGAACCGCAUGGUUCAAUAGUGAAAGACGGUUUUGCUGUCACUUAUAGAUGGAUCCGCGCCGCAUUAGCUAGUUGGUAAGGUAACGGCUUACCAAGGCGACGAUGCGUAGCCGACAUGAGAGGGUGAUCGGCCACACUGGAACUGAGACACGGUCCAGACUCCUACGGGAGGCAGCAGUAGGGAAUCUUCCGCAAUGGGCGAAAGCCUGACGGAGCAACGCCGCGUGAGUGAUGAAGGUCUUCGGAUCGUAAAACUCUGUUAUUAGGGAAGAACAAAUGUGUAAGUAACUAUGCACGUCUUGACGGUACCUAAUCAGAAAGCCACGGCUAACUACGUG
RNAcentral lists this ribosomal RNA (497 nucleotides) under uncultured bacterium. Its description in RNAcentral is "partial 16S ribosomal RNA". It matches the Rfam family "Bacterial small subunit ribosomal RNA", at positions 28 to 507 of the family's 1533-position model. The record is from RNAcentral.